GCCAAUUCCCAUCUUAAAUAAAGGUGCCCCUUCAGGGUCUAGCCACUCCCUCAGCGUACGCUUCCAAAUACAGUUAUUUCACAUAACACCAAACAAUGCUUCCUGAAUGCAACUGCCCCCUGACCAGGCUGUGAAAUCCACUGUUACUGCUGUCUGGAGUGGUGAUGGUGGUGAUGGUGGUGGUGGUGUUGGGGUGUGUGUGUGUGUGUGUGUGAGUGAAUGUGUGUGUGUGUGUGAGUGUGUGUGUGUGUGCGCGCGUGUGUGUGCGCACACACGAGCAUACUGUGAGACAGAAGCCCUCAGUGUUUCUAUGCAUUGAACUGAAUCCUGUCAAGAUUCCAAACAGGCUUCCUAGACGCAGAGCAAACGGACUUGGAUGGCGUUUUCUCAGUCUGAACUCAGUGCCCUGCUGUGGAAAAGGUCGCAGACCAAGGCUUCUCACAGCUGCAGAAAUCAACCCUCUCACAGGCAGCAUCACUACCAGCUUCUGGACCAGCAGACGUGCUCUGAGAGCGUCCUCUCCCAUCUGGCUUGAGCUGGGAUCUGAAAUAGCCACUGGCUUCCUGCAGCCCUGGAAGCCCAGCACAUGCAGCUUUGGGCUGUGUGAAAGACAUGGUCUAUUCUUUCCUCAGUUCUACACACAUUCCCUAUCAGUCAGCUGCUCAACAAAAGCAGUCUCAUCUUGGUUACGAGUAUUCAAGUGCUUUCCAAAGACAUUAAAUCAAGAUCUGGUUCACUCAGAAACAGCCUCCUCCUCCCCAAGGUGCAGGGGCAGCAGUUAUGUAUGUUGGUCAGCAGGGGCUCUUUUUGCCACUUGGCUUCCUCUGAGUGGUUCAGAAACCACCUCCAAUACAUCGGGUCCUCUGUACAACUUCCCCCAAGCUUUUCAGAGUACGAGGUCACAGGCCCUGCAGAGAGCAGCCACAGGGCGCCCACAGUCAGGAUUCCACCUUGUGGCCACCCACAAAAACCCACAACAGCAGUGCGGUUGCUAGAAACCAGGACAGCCCUACCAAACCUGAAGGAGGGAGUGGCCACCUCCACCCAUGAGUGGCCUUUUCCUUGAAGACCACAGGGCACUGAUCAGGGCAUUUUGCCAAGCAAACUAUGGCUGUUGAUGAAGACAUCUCCCAGCUGGGCUCAGAAGAACUUUAUCACUUUAGUAGAGAGAGGAUUAGAAUCUCCGAAUAAAUACCUCUGGAUUUUGUUCCCUUAGCACACCAUCGAGCCACAGGUUCCAGAGAAUGUUUGUUUGAGUGUAUGCUGAUGUGUCUAAGUGUCCAUAUGAUAA
Molecule: long non-coding RNA, 1291 nt
Filed under: Cervus hanglu yarkandensis (Yarkand deer)
Lineage: Eukaryota; Metazoa; Chordata; Mammalia; Artiodactyla; Cervidae
Description: lncRNA (ENSCHYG00000026721.1)
Source: RNAcentral